UACAGAGGGGGCAAGCGUUGUUCGGAAUUACUGGGCGUAAAGGGCGCGUAGGCGGCCUUCUAAGUCGAACGUGAAAUCCCCGGGCUCAACCCGGGAACUGCGUCCGAUACUGGAAGGCUUGAAUCCGGGAGAGGGAUGCGGAAUUCCAGGUGUAGCGGUGAAAUGCGUAGAUAUGACAUAGAACACCAAUUGCGAAGGCAGCUCACUACGCGAAUAUUGACACUGAGGCACGAAAGCGUGGGGAUCAAACAGG
RNAcentral lists this ribosomal RNA (253 nucleotides) under uncultured bacterium. RNAcentral's name for it is "partial 16S ribosomal RNA". It matches the Rfam family "Bacterial small subunit ribosomal RNA", at positions 524 to 776 of the family's 1533-position model. The record is from RNAcentral.